This is a long non-coding RNA of Bactrocera neohumeralis, 335 nucleotides long. RefSeq lists it as uncharacterized. The record is from RefSeq and is a predicted model, not a curated record. NCBI's taxonomy places the organism in Eukaryota, Metazoa, Arthropoda, Insecta, Diptera, Tephritidae. The transcript is spliced from 3 exons.
GUAAGUAAGAUAGAGAAAAACUAUCGACAUUCUAAACAUAUUGUAAUAUUAACUUGCUAGAAUAGGAGAGACGAAUGCCCAAUUUUUCAAGAAGAAGAAAACGAAAAGCGCAGUUUAUUUUGGUUUUUAAAGAGAGUAAACGAAAAAGAUUAACAACGAGAAAAAGAAAUCAUUUGGAGCGUUUGGAUGCGUAUAACAAAGACGCACCAUUCAAUUAGCCGCAUCACCGGUGACUUGGAGGACGAGCAUUACGUGGAGCUUGCUAUUAGUUUAAGUAAAUAUUUGAUUAUUUUGAUGUUAUUAUUAAAUAAAGCGAAAUAAUAAAAAAAACUGAA